UCUGAACUCAGUGGCAGCCUUUGCCACUUUGCUUAUAGACCCUGGAAAGCAUAGGCCUUCUUUCUGCUUGAGAUUUAAGAAAACCCAUGCCCCUAGAAAUUGUUCAUUCACUUUUCCAGAGCAAAGUACUGUCUUUCUCAAAGUUAAUGCACUGGCCAUUUUGAGUUCUGGGGCUUUUGGUUUAGACACAGUCUUUAUAAAUGACCAUAUUCCACAAUUGAAGCACAGGGCUUUUGCUAUUGGAGACCUCUAGUAUAGCUUGAUCUAUCAACAUGGUACGCAUUCGAACCAAUAUGGGUCAUAUCCCUUACCUGUUAAAACAUAGGCACUGCCCAUGCCUUUACUGGUCUAAGGUAGCUUUUAUUUAUUUUUGCUACUUUGUGUGGGAUCUUCAUGGAUUCUUCUUUCUCCUUACAGUAUCUCCUCUAGCUAGAAUCAGCUUCUCCAGCUUAAUCUCCUCUCUAACCCUACUGAGUCUUUUGUCUUCUGCAUCAUCUGUCUUCUCUGACCCCUACUCUCUCACCCUACCCCCUCUUCUUUCUCUCCAGU
Molecule: long non-coding RNA, 549 nt
Filed under: Rattus norvegicus (Norway rat)
Lineage: Eukaryota; Metazoa; Chordata; Mammalia; Rodentia; Muridae
Description: long non-coding RNA NONRATT019530
Source: RNAcentral